Molecule: ribosomal RNA, 788 nt
Filed under: uncultured bacterium
Lineage: Bacteria
Description: bacterial SSU rRNA
Rfam family: Bacterial small subunit ribosomal RNA
Source: RNAcentral
GCUGGCGGCAGGCCUAACACAUGCAAGUCGAGCGGUAGAGAGAAGCUUGCUUCUCUUGAGAGCGGCGGACGGGUGAGUAAAGCCUAGGAAUCUGCCUGGUAGUGGGGGAUAACGUUCGGAAACGGACGCUAAUACCGCAUACGUCCUACGGGAGAAAGCAGGGGACCUUCGGGCCUUGCGCUAUCAGAUGAGCCUAGGUCGGAUUAGCUAGUUGGUGAGGUAAUGGCUCACCAAGGCGACGAUCCGUAACUGGUCUGAGAGGAUGAUCAGUCACACUGGAACUGAGACACGGUCCAGACUCCUACGGGAGGCAGCAGUGGGGAAUAUUGGACAAUGGGCGAAAGCCUGAUCCAGCCAUGCCGCGUGUGUGAAGAAGGUCUUCGGAUUGUAAAGCACUUUAAGUUGGGAGGAAGGGCAUUAACCUAAUACGUUAGUGUUUUGACGUUACCGACAGAAUAAGCACCGGCUAACUCUGUGCCAGCAGCCGCGGUAAUACAGAGGGUGCAAGCGUUAAUCGGAAUUACUGGGCGUAAAGCGCGCGUAGGUGGUUUGUUAAGUUGGAUGUGAAAUCCCCGGGCUCAACCUGGGAACUGCAUUCAAAACUGACUGACUAGAGUAUGGUAGAGGGUGGUGGAAUUUCCUGUGUAGCGGUGAAAUGCGUAGAUAUAGGAAGGAACACCAGUGGCGAAGCGACCACCUGGACUAAUACUGACACUGAGGUGCGAAAGCGUGGGGAGCAAACAGGAUUAGAUACCUGGUAGUCCACGCCGUAACGAUGUCAACUAGCC